Molecule: ribosomal RNA, 497 nt
Filed under: uncultured bacterium
Lineage: Bacteria
Description: partial 16S ribosomal RNA
Rfam family: Bacterial small subunit ribosomal RNA
Source: RNAcentral
GAUGAACGCUGGCGGCGUGCCUAAUACAUGCAAGUCGAGCGAACGGACGAGAAGCUUUCUUCUCUGAUGUUAGCGGCGGACGGGUGAGUAACACGUGGAUAACCUACCUAUAAUUCUGGGAUAACUUCGGGAAACCGGAGCUAAUACCAGAUAAUAUUAUGAACCGCAUGGUUCAAAAGUGAAAGACGGUCUUGCUGUCACUUAUAGAUGGAUCCGCGCUGCAUUAGCUAGUUGGUAAGGUAACGGCUUACCAAGGCAACGAUGCAUAGCCGACCUGAGAGGGUGAUCGGCCACACUGGAACUGAGACACGGUCCAGACUCCUACGGGAGGCAGCAGUAGGGAAUCUUCCGCAAUGGGCGAAAGCCUGACGGAGCAACGCCGCGUGAGUGAUGAAGGUCUUCGGAUCGUAAAACUCUGUUAUUAGGGAAGAACAUAUGUGUAAGUAACUGUGCACAUCUUGACGGUACCUAAUCAGAAAGCCACGGCUAACUACGUG